This 22-nucleotide microRNA is filed under the name Parasteatoda tepidariorum (common house spider). RNAcentral's name for it is "pte-miR-745-5p". Its record names the gene pte-miR-745-5p. Lineage: Eukaryota; Metazoa; Arthropoda; Arachnida; Araneae; Theridiidae. The record is from miRBase by way of RNAcentral. RNAcentral also lists the same sequence under 1 other name.
AGUCCAUCAUCGGGUUGCUAGC